CCUACGGGUGGCAGCAGUGAGGAAUAUUGGUCAAUGGGCGCGAGCCUGAACCAGCCAAGUAGCGUGAGGGAAGACGGUCCUAUGGAUUGUAAACCUCUUUUGUCGGGGAGCAACAGACGCCACGCGUGGCGUUUCGAGAGUACCUGAUGAAAAAGCAUCGGCUAACUCCUUGCCAGCAGCCGCGGUAAUACGGAGGAUGCGAGCGUUAUCCGGAUUUAUUGGGUUUAAAGGGUGCGCAGGCGGAAGAUCAAGUCAGCGGUAAAAUUGUGAGGCUAAACCUCUUAGAGCCGUUGAAACUGGUUUUCUUGAGUGAGUGAGAGGUAUGCGGAAUGCGUGGUGUAGCGGUGAAAUGCAUAGAUAUCACGCAGAACUCCGAUUGCGAAGGCAGCAUACCAGCGCUCAACUGACGCUCAUGCACGAAAGUGUGGGUAUCGAACAGGAUUAGAUACCCCAGUAGUC
Molecule: ribosomal RNA, 459 nt
Filed under: uncultured bacterium
Lineage: Bacteria
Description: partial 16S ribosomal RNA
Rfam family: Bacterial small subunit ribosomal RNA
Source: RNAcentral